Molecule: ribosomal RNA, 251 nt
Filed under: uncultured prokaryote
Description: partial 16S ribosomal RNA
Rfam family: Bacterial small subunit ribosomal RNA
Source: RNAcentral
ACGUCUUUUUCCCGCUUUUUUCUGAAUUACUGGGCGUAAAGCGCACGUGGGCGGCUAACCAAGUUGGGGGUGAAAGCCCAGGGCUUAACCCUGGAACUGCCUUCAAGACUGGUUGGCUAGAGGCCGAGAGAGGUAAGGGGAAUUCCUAGUGUAGAGGUGAAAUUCGUAGAUAUUAGGAAGAACACCGGUGGCGAAGGCGCCUUACUGGCUCGGAACUGACGCUGAGGUGCGAAAGCGUGGGGAUCAAACAG